Molecule: ribosomal RNA, 274 nt
Filed under: uncultured bacterium
Lineage: Bacteria
Description: partial 16S ribosomal RNA
Rfam family: Bacterial small subunit ribosomal RNA
Source: RNAcentral
CUCCCGCCGGCGACCGGCGCACGGGUGAGUAACACGUAUGAAACCUGCCCGUAGCAGGGGGAUAAGCGGAAGAAAUUCCGUCUAAUACCGCGUAACAACCCGAGGAGGCAUCUCCUCGGGUUUAAAGGAAGCGAUUCCGGCUACGGAUGGUCAUGCGUCGCAUUAGCUAGUUGGCGGGUAACGCCCACCAAGGCGACGAUGCGUAGGGGUUCUGAGAGGAAGGUCCCCCACACUGGUACUGAGACACGGACCAGACUCCUACGGAAGGCAGCAG